UACAGAGCCUACCCUCAAACCACACCCAGU
Molecule: non-coding RNA, 30 nt
Filed under: Mus musculus (house mouse)
Lineage: Eukaryota; Metazoa; Chordata; Mammalia; Rodentia; Muridae
Source: RNAcentral